UCUAAGAUAAAAAGGAAAGCUGAACCCUAAAAACCCUAGUCAGGAAUCGAUAUAUUUUUGUUAGAAUAGCAUCAGCAGCAGCAGCAGCAGCAGCAGGAGCAGCAGGCCUAAACGAUCAACCAACCAGAAAAGAGAAACAAGAUGGUUUCAGGGUCAGGGAUCUGCGCCAAGAGAGUGGUUGUGGAUGCAAGGCAUCACAUGCUAGGAAGGUUGGCUUCCAUUUUGGCCAAGGAGUUGUUGAAUGGCCAAAAAGUAGUGGUUGUUCGAUGCGAAGAGAUUUGUAUGUCGGGUGGUUUAGUGAGGCAGAAGAUGAAGUACAUGAGGUUCUUGAGGAAGCGGAUGAACACUAAGCCUUCUCAUGGCCCCAUUCAUUUUCGUGCUCCUGCUAAGAUCCUCUGGCGUACCAUUCGUGGCAUGAUUCCCCACAAGACCAAGCGUGGGGCAGCUGCUCUUGCUCGAUUGAAGGCUUAUGAGGGGAUUCCAGCUCCUUAUGAUAAGACAAAGAGGAUGGUUAUUCCUGAUGCUCUCAAGGUUUUGAGGCUUCAGAAAGGACACAAGUACUGCUUGUUGGGCAAGCUUUCCUCUGAGGUUGGAUGGAACCAUUAUGACACCAUCAAGGAGCUUGAGAGGAAGAGGAAGGAAAGAGCUCAAGUGGCAUAUGAGAGAAGAAAGCAACUCACUAAACUUAGGGUUAAAGCCGAGAAGGUUGCUGAGGAGAAGCUUGGGGCCCAGUUGGAAGUUAUUGCUCCUAUCAAAUAUUGAUUCAAAGAUGAUUGAAACAUUCCGGUUACGUUUCAGUGCACUUCCAUAAUGUCUUUUUGAGUUGCUCAUAAUUUUAUUCCCCCAAUCGUUUCAGGUUGGUCAUUUUGGCGUCCGAUUUCACCUGCAUGAUAUAAUGUGUUGUUUGCCGUUAUACCGUUAAUAUCUUGUCAGAGAAUGGUCCAGUAAUUUACCAAUUUGACCAAACGGCUUAUCCGUUGAAUACUUCUGUCAUCGGUUUCCUAGUUUCGCAUCCGAUUGCAACACGGUUGACGUUACAUACAUGUUAGGUUAUUUUCAGCCAUGGAUCAGUCUUUAGUUCUUAUUUAUAAGGUGGGAAUUAUGCCAUCAAAUUGUAGAUGUACUUGAUGGGUUUUGCCAAAGUCUUAAUGGUGAUCGAAGUGUUGAAUCUCAAUUGAGUUAAUGUGCUCAGAAAAUUAAGGUCUCUAAUGGAAUUCAUCUGAAAUUUACUUA
Molecule: RNA transcript, 1233 nt
Organism: Gossypium arboreum
Lineage: Eukaryota; Viridiplantae; Streptophyta; Magnoliopsida; Malvales; Malvaceae
Gene name: 60S ribosomal protein L13a-4-like
Exons: 5
Source: RefSeq, a predicted model, not a curated record